Long non-coding RNA from Helianthus annuus (common sunflower), 558 nucleotides. RefSeq lists it as uncharacterized. NCBI's taxonomy places the organism in Eukaryota, Viridiplantae, Streptophyta, Magnoliopsida, Asterales, Asteraceae. The transcript is spliced from 5 exons. The record is from RefSeq and is a predicted model, not a curated record.
CCCAAAGCAAAGGAAAAGGGGGGAAACCCUUAGAAAUCUGAUAUGGACAAAAAUUGAAGAAGAUAAUCAAGAAUUUACUUGUGCAUGAGCCUGAAUUGAGACAAUCUAAGCUUUCCUUUCAAGUGGAGUGAAGGAAGAAGGUACGAGCCAAUCCGGAUCGGAAGUGUCACAAAGUAAAGGUAAAUCCCACCCUUGAUGAUGCGAGCUCGGACCGAACACACUACAUCGCCCUCUAUGCGCUUCCGGUUAAAGUCGUCUUUUGUAAAUGGGUCAAAACACUUUCAUAAUGAGUGGAGGAAGAAGGUACGAGCCAAUCCGGAUCGCAAGUGUCGCAAAGUAAAGGUAAAUCCCACUCUUGAUGAUGCGAGCUUGGACCGAACACACUACAUCGCCCUCUAUGCGCUUCCGGUUAAAGUCGUCUUUUGUAAAUGGGUCAAAACACUUUCAUAAUGUAAUUGUUUCAACUUUUACGUCUUUUGAAACAUGUCUUUGAAUUAGUAUUGAAGGAUGAUUGUUAAAAAAAAAAAAACCAGGGAAUUGCUUAUAGUACGAACGGGU